RNAcentral lists this ribosomal RNA (495 nucleotides) under uncultured bacterium. RNAcentral describes it as "partial 16S ribosomal RNA". It matches the Rfam family "Bacterial small subunit ribosomal RNA", at positions 28 to 507 of the family's 1533-position model. The record is from RNAcentral.
GACGAACGCUGGCGGCGUGCCUAAUACAUGCAAGUAGAACGCUGAAGGAGGAGCUUGCUUCUCUGGAUGAGUUGCGAACGGGUGAGUAACGCGUAGGUAACCUGCCUGGUAGCGGGGGAUAACUAUUGGAAACGAUAGCUAAUACCGCAUAAGAGUAGAUGUUGCAUGACAUUUGCUUAAAAGGUGCAAUUGCAUCACUACCAGAUGGACCUGCGCUGUAUUAGCUAGUUGGUGGGGUAACGGCUCACCAAGGCGACGAUACAUAGCCGACCUGAGAGGGUGAUCGGCCACACUGGGACUGAGACACGGCCCAGACUCCUACGGGAGGCAGCAGUAGGGAAUCUUCGGCAAUGGACGGAAGUCUGACCGAGCAACGCCGCGUGAGUGAAGAAGGUUGUCGGAUCGUAAAGCUCGGUUGUAAGAGAAGAACGAGUGUGAGAGUGGAAAGUUCACACUGUGACGGUAGCUUACCAGAAAGGGACGGCUAACUACGUG